RNAcentral lists this ribosomal RNA (322 nucleotides) under uncultured eukaryote. Its description in RNAcentral is "partial 18S ribosomal RNA". It matches the Rfam family "Eukaryotic small subunit ribosomal RNA", at positions 1470 to 1796 of the family's 1831-position model. The record is from RNAcentral.
CCCUUAGAUGUUCUGGGCCGCACGCGUGCUACACUGAGUAAUUCAAUGGGUAAGGGAACGCUAGAGCAUUACCUAAUCUUGAAAUUUGCUCGUGAUGGGGAUCGACGGUUGCAAUUUUCCGUCGUGAACGAGGGAUACCUUGUAGGCGCAUGUCAUCAUCAUGCGCCGAAUACGUCCCUGCCCUUUGUACACACCGCCCGUCGCUCCUACCGAUUGAGUGAUCCGGUGAGGCUCUGGGACCUGGACGGAAAGAGCGUUUCGCUUGUUCUGUUUGGGAAACUUGGUCGAACCUUAUCAUUUAGAGGAAGGAGAAGUCGUAACA